UUAUGAUUAGAUUUAUGAUGACGAGAAAGACGUUGGCAGAAGAUUGUCAACAAUACUUUUUGUUGUUUUGUUGAUUUAACUUGACAAACAAAGUCCAUGGCAUAUGAAUCAACGAAUAAUCAAUGAAAUAAAACCGGCAACUCACACACAUGCUUUAUUGUCACAGAAGUCAACGACAACGGAAGCCCGCAAUGAGACGACAACUUCAAAAUCUACUCAUGAACUGAGAACUAUCAACAGAUCAAGGAAUCUGGAGAUUUUUAGUUAAAGAGGACUUCUGAUCCAACCAUGUAGUAUGGCAUGUUAUUGAGAUAUGGUUUUGGUCGAUGGAUGUUCAUGAAGGACCUGUAGUACAAAGUAUAUCACUGGAUUGAGCUCUUUGUCUAAGUGUAUUACGAAAGUGCUUCCACUUCUGAAAAUGUAAAAUGGGAUUUCACUGAAAAUACCAGUGGAGUUUCAUCGGAGUUCCAUUGGAAUACCACUGUAUUACCUCUGGGAAAUUUGGUCGGGAUUUUCAUUGGACACUCAUUGUUUUCCAUUGGGAUAUCAAAGGAAUAUCCAGUGGGAUUCCGGUGAAUACUCGAGUGGAAUACAGUGGAAAUUCCAUUGGAAUACCAGUGAAAACGUCGUUGGAAUACCAUUGUUUUCCCAUUGGACAUUUAUUGUUUUCAAAUGGGAUACCAGUGGUAAUUCCAUUGGAAAUUGUAACAAUCAACCAAAGAAAACCAGUGAUAUUUCAACGGAAAUUGACAACUCCACUGAAAUGUUAGAUAUCAUUUUGCAUGCACUGCUUAUUUUUGAAUGAAUUAAUAAGAAAACUUGAAAUAAUACAAUAACCAUUUUAAUGCAAGUCAGCAAUUAAAGAAAUUACAACAGUUUAUACAUUAUCCACAUUUAAGACCUUUUAAACGAAAAGAUCAACCUCUUUGAAAUAUAAAUGUUGAUAACUUAUCAUUUUUAGCCAAAGAUGUAUUUACUUAAUUGUACAUGUAAAUCAUUUUUCCGGUUAAAUCAUUCAUAAGUCCAUGGUAACGUUUGGUCCUCUUGAAAUCUUUCACAAAUGGUUUAAAUUUUCUAUUUUUUUUUCUUGCAUUACACAAACAAAAAUGUCCAGUUUACAUGCAUAUGAAAUACUUUGUCAGUUUCCUUCAUCAUGCAUUGAUAUAAUUCAUGAAUUAAGUCCAAAGUUUCUGCAUUCCAAUCCUGUUCCAUUAAUUCUUCAUUGAUUAAUCUGAAAGAAAAAAAAUCAUACAUGCAUAGAAUUUUGAAUUAAAAUAACAUUACAAUACCAUGCUUCAGUCUGCAUGGUCUGCAAUUAUUCAAGAAUAUAUGUUACUGGCAUAUUUUUUUAGUGUUUGUUUAAUUUAGCCACAACAUUUAUACACUCAGGGCAAUUUAGACACAUGUAUGUCUAUUGUUGAAGACUAUGUGUUCUCUAUAUAUCUUUGGCUAUAGUUGUUGGGUUGCUGUCUCUUAGACUUACAACACGUACACAUCUCCUUUUAUCAAAAUAUACUUUUAUAAUUUAUGGAUCAGGUGUUUCUCUCAGGUCCAAUAAAAUAGUAUGUGUGGUUCCAUUUACAUCUAAAAAACAUUAGGGUAGGUAGGUAGGGAUUAUUUUUUAUUUAAUGGGGGUUUUUUUUACAUUGAGUCUAUGGAAGCAACAUUCUGACUUUAACAGUGCUUAAUGAAAAAUGACAAAAAAAUCUUUAGGAAAGGCUAUUGUUAAGACUAAAAAGUAGGGUAGGUAGGGUAACUGGAACCAUGCAUAUAUUUUUUAUUUGGCCUCAUAUUAUCUUUUCUUUUUGUGUUGUGUUUGUUGUUGGUUUGCCAUCUGGUUGAAGCAUACCAGACACUUCAUUUUAUUCACACAAUAGCCAUGAUUAGCCAUUGUACAUGAUGAUCAGAUCAAUGUUUUUGAGAUGUGUUUACAGCUUGUAGAUGUGAAUGAUUAAUGUGUUUUUAUUUCAAGUGUGGGAAGGAUGAACAAAUAAUUCAAUAAGUACCUUUCAGUAAUCUUAUACUCAAAUUACUUUUCUGCUGCUGGUUCGUUUGUGUUCAUCGUGUUUCAUAUCCAACUAUUGCGGUCAUCACGAGACUUUUACACUUCAAUUGUAUAUCAUUAAUGGUCGAUUGAUUAUCAAUGAAAAUGAACGGGGUACAUAGAUUAAACGGUCAUAACUUUUUUGUUACAUUGUGUAUUUACCUCCCAACCCCGCGUUUUACAAUAUAUCCAUUUUUACAAUUAAAAAUGUUUUAAGUUUCAGUUCAGAUAUAUGAUUUCUUGCUUCAAAAUAAGUUUUAAAAUUGGGGUGACAUAACCACACAGCCUCCGUUGACUUCUUCGUUAAAACUCGAUAAAAUUGCAAUGGGACCUUCUUAUAUAAUCAAUUUUCUCAACUUAUUUAAUGUUACUAAUAUCCUCCCAACCCCUAAAAAGAUCGACAACAUAUUCAAAUGCAUUUAAAUGAAAUCGAAAACCAUAUCAGUUUAGGUAUCAAACUUUUUGCUUCAAAAUUUGAUUGAAAAGUUCACAUUUUGGCAUUUGUUAGCAAUAUUUUAAAAAUGGCGGCCGCUGUUGGAAGUAAACAACGACACGACAUGUAUAUUCAUUUAGUUAUUAAUCAAAAAGAAAUAUUUCAAAUAUAUAUUGAAGUGUGUCUUAUUGUAUUUAAGAAAUUUCUUAUUUCACCUUUUCUUUCAUAUAUUUAUUAGAAAUAAUCUCUCGCACUCAAAAUAAAGAUUUAUAUGCAUUAACCAUGCAGUUUACAUUGACAGCUUGGGCCGAUGAAAAUCGAAUAAAUGUUGGAUGCAUGCGUUUUCAGUAAUUGUCUUACCUUAAAGCAGCAUAGAAUCAAACAUGUUUUCUCUUUGUUAAAGUGGAUACAUGCUGUUUUUUUUUUGAUAAAAUUUCGUAAAAAAUGGCGACCAAAUAAUUUUGAAACGUAGACGAUGUUCAACACUAAUUUUACCAAUGCAAAUAAUUCAAUUUGAUUUCACUGUUGAUAUUGCAAUUAAGUAUGACACGUUAUUGUCACUUUAAGAAUACCUAAGGACAUAGCUAGAUUAACUUGAGGAGAUAUUAAGUCAUCAACGUGAUCAAAGAAAACAAACAUGGCACCUAAUCACGAUGUAAGUUUUGACAAGACCUGUGUACAUGUAGAUUAAUAUUGUUCGAUUCUUAAUGAAAUUAUUGUAUGCUAUUAUUUCAUAUCAAUAAAAGAAAACCUCGAAUGGAUGGUAACCGAGGUGAAAUAUC
Long non-coding RNA from Mytilus californianus (California mussel), 3259 nucleotides. RefSeq lists it as uncharacterized. The record is from RefSeq and is a predicted model, not a curated record. The transcript has 2 exons. NCBI's taxonomy places the organism in Eukaryota, Metazoa, Mollusca, Bivalvia, Mytilida, Mytilidae.